CAACGACUCUCGGCAACGGAUAUCUCGGCUCACGCAUCGAUGAAGAACGCAGCAAAAUGCGAUACUUGGUGUGAAUUGCAGAAUCCCGUGAACCAUCGAGUUUUUGAACGCAAGUUGCGCCCGAAGCCUUUUGGUCGAGGGCACGUCUGCCUGGGCGUCACAY
RNAcentral lists this ribosomal RNA (163 nucleotides) under Caucasalia parviflora. RNAcentral describes it as "5.8S ribosomal RNA". It matches the Rfam family "5.8S ribosomal RNA". Rfam says of the family: 5.8S ribosomal RNA (5.8S rRNA) is a component of the large subunit of the eukaryotic ribosome. It is transcribed by RNA polymerase I as part of the 45S precursor that also contains 18S and 28S rRNA. Functionally, it is thought that 5.8S rRNA may be involved in ribosome translocation. The record is from RNAcentral. Lineage: Eukaryota; Viridiplantae; Streptophyta; Magnoliopsida; Asterales; Asteraceae.